GAUGAACGCUGGCGGCGUGCCUAACACAUGCAAGUCGAGCGAACAGACGAGGCGCUUUCUUCUCUUACGUUACCGGCGAAUGAGUCAUUAACACGUGGCUAACCUAUCUAUGAGACUCGGGUAACUUCGGGACACCUAAGCUAAUACCCGACACUCUAUUGAACCUGAUGGUUCAAGCGUUUACGACGUUUUUUGUGCCCCUGAUCUAUCAAUCCGCGCCGGAUUUGCUAGUUUGUAAGGUAACGGCAUACCAAGGCAACGAUGGGUAGACGACCUGAAAGGGUGAUCGGCGACACUGGAAGUGAGACAGGGUCGCGACUCCUACGGGAGGCAGCAGUAGGGAAUCGGCGGCAAUGGGGGAAAGUAUGACGGAGCAACGCCGAGUGAGUGAUGAAGGUCUUCGGAUCGGAAAACUCUGCUAUUAGGGAUGAACAAAUGUGUAAGUAACUAUGCAGUUAUUGACGGUACCUAAAGAGAAAGCCACGGCUAACUACGUG
Molecule: ribosomal RNA, 497 nt
Filed under: uncultured bacterium
Lineage: Bacteria
Description: partial 16S ribosomal RNA
Rfam family: Bacterial small subunit ribosomal RNA
Source: RNAcentral